CGAAAGCCUGACGGAGCAACGCCGCGUGAGGGAGGAAGGCCCUUGGGUUGUAAACCUCUUUUCUGGGGGAAGAAGUAAUGACGGUACCCCAGGAAUAAGCAUCGGCUAACUCCGUGCCAGCAGCCGCGGUAAUACGGAGGAUGCAAGCGUUAUCCGGAAUCAUUGGGCGUAAAGCGUCCGCAGGUGGCUAUUCAAGUCUGCUGUCAAAGCAUGGAGCUUAACUCCAUAGAGGCAGUGGAAACUGAAAGGCUAGAGGCCGGUAGGGGUAGUGGGAAUUCCCAGUGUAGCGGUGAAAUGCGUAGAGAUUGGGAAGAACAUCGGUGGCGAAAGCGCACUACUGGGCAGGACCUGACACUGAGGGACGAAAGCUAGGGGAGCAAAAGGGAUUAGAUACCCCUGUAGUCCUAGCCGUAAAC
Molecule: ribosomal RNA, 416 nt
Filed under: Gloeothece membranacea PCC 6501
Lineage: Bacteria; Bacillati; Cyanobacteriota; Cyanophyceae; Chroococcales; Aphanothecaceae
Description: bacterial SSU rRNA
Rfam family: Bacterial small subunit ribosomal RNA
Source: RNAcentral